This is a non-coding RNA of Amphiprion ocellaris (clown anemonefish), 1374 nucleotides long. The record is from the annotation of a RefSeq genome assembly. NCBI's taxonomy places the organism in Eukaryota, Metazoa, Chordata, Actinopteri, Pomacentridae.
GCUGCUCUUCUCAAUCCAGCAUAGCUAAUUUCUCAUCCUGACAGUAAAGGGCAUUUGCAUCACACACUGACAACAUGCUGGGGACCCUCUUCACUCUCAUCACUGCUCUGACAUAUGUAGAUGCAGUGAUUGUGGUGACACAGACGCCUGCCAUUCACACAGUUUCUACAGGACAACAGGUUGUUGUCAACUGCAACAUUGGGAGAUACGACACUGCCUCUGUAGCGUGGUACAAACAAGUUACUGGUGUGAGUGGAGUGACGGUGGUGACACAGAAGCCUCCUGUUAUGUCAAAGACGAGAGGAGAGACAGCCAGCAUGGACUGUAACCUGGGGACUGUUACCAAUAGUGUUGCUCGCUGGUAUAAACAGAUUCCAGGAGGAGUUCCUCAGUUUGUAUUAUAUUUUUACCAUAGUUCUAGCUCUCCAACCUAUGGCUCUGGUUUCUCCUCACCCAAGUUCACAUCUACUCAUCAGUCACAAUCAGAUUAUCGUUUGAUCAUCAACAAUGUGGAGGAGGGAGACUCAGCAGUCUAUUACUGCAAAACAUGGGACAGCUCUGUUAAAGAGUACGCAUCACAGUGAUUCAUGCCAUGACAAAAACCUUGUCACAAAUACUUCUGCUUUUUGAGACUCUGCACGUCAGCUGUUAACAGAGCCACCAGUCAAGCCAGACGUUCAUAUCAUGCCAUAUAAAUUUAGUGAGAUAUGGUGUAUUUCCUAUAAAUGGAACACAAAAUCUAAAAUUUCAGUUAGUUUCAAAUAUGAACAGCUCAAGGCAGAACAAUGUUUAGAGAGGUAAGUGGCACAUUUAGCAGAAUAUCAAUUAAAACAAGUUGUGCUGUUGAUGAUAUUAAUGAAAAGGAUGUCAACAGGAUUCCUAAAAGUAUAGGAAUGCAACUAAAAUUGCGCACACAAAUGUUACAUUGCAUUCUUUCAAAACUAAAAUAAAAAAAAAAUUAAAAUUGCUACAUUGACUUCAACAUCCAAACAUCGAUUUUCUUCUCGGAAAACUGAAACAAUAAGUAAACAUUUGCAUUCACAGCAUGUCUUUCAUAUGAUUCAAUCUUCUUUACUGGACACAUGAACUCCUGAUUUAACCCUUUCAUACUGUUUGGGUCAAAUUUGACCAGUUUUGACAAAUAACAUCAGUAAAAAUACCCUAAACGUCAUUCUUUUAGCCUGAAAUCUGAUGACGGUUUUUGGGAAUUUUGAAACUGUGAAACUGUACAGCCCAUGUUUGUGUGUAUUUUUUUAUGGGACAGAGUUCAAGGGGAACCUCAACACUGUCACAAGAACUGUCUGUGUUCCCACCACAUUAACCCAGGUUCCUGUAGAGACCUGCUGGACUUUGAAGGGGCAUUUGAGAAUCUCA